CCGUUCAGAGUGAACGCUGGCGGCGUGCUUAACACAUGCAAGUCGAACGAGAACGGAUUAAAGCUUGCUAUAAUUUUCAGUUAAGCGGCGCACGGGUGAGUAAUAUAUAGGUAACAUGCCCUAGAGAGGGGGAUACCAGAUGGAAACGUCUGCUAACACCCCAUAUGCCUUUAAGACNUAAGUCUCCAAGGGAAACAUUUAUGGCUCUAGGAUUGGCCUGUACGGUAUCAGAUAGUUGGUGAGGUAAUGGCUCACCAAGUCAAUGACACCUAACUGGUUUGAGAGGAUGAUCAGUCACACUGGAACUGAGACACGGUCCAGACUCCUACGGGAGGCAGCAGUGGGGAAUAUUGCACAAUGGAGGAAAGUUAGAGUCAGCAACGCCGCGUG
This 390-nucleotide ribosomal RNA is filed under the name uncultured Campylobacterota bacterium. Its description in RNAcentral is "bacterial SSU rRNA". It matches the Rfam family "Bacterial small subunit ribosomal RNA", at positions 20 to 403 of the family's 1533-position model. The record is from RNAcentral. Lineage: Bacteria; Pseudomonadati; Campylobacterota.